This 72-nucleotide transfer RNA is filed under the name Poecilia formosa (Amazon molly). It matches the Rfam family "tRNA". From Rfam's summary of the family: Transfer RNA (tRNA) molecules are approximately 80 nucleotides in length. Their secondary structure includes four short double-helical elements and three loops (D, anti-codon, and T loops). The record is from Rfam by way of RNAcentral. Lineage: Eukaryota; Metazoa; Chordata; Actinopteri; Cyprinodontiformes; Poeciliidae.
UCCCUGAUGGUCUAGUGGUCAGGAUUUGGUGCUUUCACCGCUACGGCCCGGGUUUGAUUCCCGCUCAGAGAA